UAAUUGGAGGUUCAGGGCAAAUAAUACAAGUGGACCCUUGAUAAAAAUAUACAAGAUAACAAAUCACUUCACCCGUGGGUGUUGAAGGUAGCUUGUCUCGCCCAGGAGGUGGUAACAGCUGAAAACAAAGUGACGAACGGGUGCAUAAUGUGUGGGAAUCUACCAAACCGUUCGGGCCAAAUCAUGAAGAAAGCUAAAAAGUGUUGUUUGGUAUUGAGCCAAUUAAUCCACGAGUUACAUUUGUUGUUAGGCUCAUAGUCACUUGGUUUGCACUUCGUUUUAGUACAUAGUUUGGAUUUGAAGACGUGGUACACAACCUUUGAAAUAUUGGAUACGAGAAGAGUAUACAGAAUAUCAUUCUUUCAUAUAAAUUAUCCUCAAAUAUUAAAAGAAAGGCUUAACUAUACAUUUGGUCCCUUAUGUUUAUUUUAGGUUUCAAUUUGGUCCCUUACGUUUAAAACGUGUCAAUUUGGUCCCUUACGUUUCCUCCGUUACCAUUAGUUGGUCCUUUCUGUUAAAUUACAAGUUAAUUCUGUUUAAAAAUGCCACGUGGCUAACAUUUCAAAUUUGUCCCUUGUCAUAUCCAUCAUCUACCGUUGAUAAAAAAUGACCAUAUAUGAUUAUCAUACACCCUCCCACACUAAAUAAUAAACAUAUCUCCCUCACCAUUGCAACUUGCAAGACCUUCCUGCAACCUUAUUACUUCCGUCGCAACAAUCAAACCAUAUACAUAAAUAAAUAACAAAGAAGAACAAAUCAAGAGCAAUCAAUGGUUAAUUUUUCGAUUUGGUAGAAAACUUAUUUUUUAGAUCUG
RNAcentral lists this long non-coding RNA (814 nucleotides) under Trifolium pratense (red clover). Its description in RNAcentral is "long non-coding RNA (TPRA_LNC002435)". Lineage: Eukaryota; Viridiplantae; Streptophyta; Magnoliopsida; Fabales; Fabaceae. The record is from RNAcentral.